GAGUUUGAUCAUGGCUCAGAACGAACGCUGGCGGCAUGCCUAACACAUGCAAGUCGAACGAGAUCUUCGGAUCUAGUGGCGCACGGGUGCGUAACGCGUGGGAAUCUGCCCUUGGGUUCGGAAUAACAGUUAGAAAUGACUGCUAAUACCGGAUGAAGUCUUCGGACCAAAGAUUUAUCGCCCAGGGAUGAGCCCGCGUAAGAUUAGGUAGUUGGUGGGGUAAAGGCCUACCAAGCCGACGACCUUUAGCUGGUCUGAGAGGAUGAUCAGCCACACUGGGACUGAGACACGGCCCAGACUCCUACGGGAGGCAGCAGUGAGGAAUAUUGGACAAUGGGCGCAAGCCUGAUCCAGCAAUGCCGCGUGAGUGAUGAAGGCCUUAGGGUCGUAAAGCUCUUUUACCCGGGAUGAUAAUGACAGUACCGGGAGAAUAAGCCCCGGCUAACUCCGUGCCAGCAGCCGCGGUAAUACG
RNAcentral lists this ribosomal RNA (472 nucleotides) under uncultured eubacterium WR1126. RNAcentral's name for it is "bacterial SSU rRNA". It matches the Rfam family "Bacterial small subunit ribosomal RNA", at positions 9 to 527 of the family's 1533-position model. The record is from RNAcentral.